AUUGAACGCUGGCGGCAGGCCUAACACAUGCAAGUCGAGCGAGCGGCGGACGGGUGAGUAAUGUAUGGGGAUCUGCCCGAUAGAGGGGGAUAACUACUGGAAACGGUGGCUAAUACCGCAUACUAUCGGAUGAACAUAUAUGGUAUGAGCUAGUAGGUGGGGUAAAGGCUCACCUAGGCGACGCUCUAUCGCUGGUCUGAGAGGAUGAUCAGCCACACUGGGACUGAGACAAGGCCCAGACUCCUACGGGAGGCAGCAGUGGGGAAUAUUGCACAAUGGGCGCAAGCCUGAUGCAGCCAUGCCGCGUGUAUGAAGAAGGCCUUAGGGGUGUAAAGUACUUUCAGCGGGGAGGCGUUACCCGCAGAAGAAGCACCGGCUAACUCCGUGCCAGCAGCCGCGGUAAUUC
Molecule: ribosomal RNA, 406 nt
Filed under: uncultured bacterium
Lineage: Bacteria
Description: partial 16S ribosomal RNA
Rfam family: Bacterial small subunit ribosomal RNA
Source: RNAcentral